RNAcentral lists this long non-coding RNA (634 nucleotides) under Mytilus galloprovincialis (Mediterranean mussel). Lineage: Eukaryota; Metazoa; Mollusca; Bivalvia; Mytilida; Mytilidae. The record is from RNAcentral.
GUUUAUGUCUACAGAGUUUUAAUUUUCUUGAUUUCAAUGGCAUAAAUGUUUGCAAGCUUUUAUUUUGUGCCUUUUUGUAAAUAAUAUUAAGUAGGUGGUCUAGUUGUAGUGUGUUCAGGCCAGGUCAAACCAAAAUCGUUAACAAUUGGUAUUUCCUGCUUCUCUGUUCAGCAUGAGUAAUAGUGAAGACAACUGUCACAGGUUUUGGUCAUCUCACAGUCAGAAUAAGGAGGCAGGGUUAGGUGAAGCAUUUUUCAGCGAGCUGUGUUACAUUGUGAACUGGCACAUUAAAAAUCUGAUUUAGCCUAUCUAUCUACAGUCUUCUUUUCUAUGAAACGAUUUAUGACUUUUGAACAGAAGUAUAAUACUGUUGCCUUUAUUUAGUCCCUUUUCACAGAACACAUUUUUUUAGGAGAAGCAAAACAGGAAAAAGUUGGUAUGUAUCAAAUUAUGUGCUAACAAAGCAAAAUAGUGUGAACCGCUCCAUGAGACCUUGACUAAACAAUACUUGUAAAAGAUUUUAGUCCUAAAGUGCUCCGGUUAACAUUGACACAUUUUGUACUAAAACAUGUAUAUUUAAUAAAUAGUAAUGAUAAACCUACAAUGUAAUAACAAGUGUACUGUAAUAAACAAG